Molecule: ribosomal RNA, 294 nt
Filed under: Bacillus sonorensis
Lineage: Bacteria; Bacillati; Bacillota; Bacilli; Caryophanales; Bacillaceae
Description: partial 16S ribosomal RNA
Rfam family: Bacterial small subunit ribosomal RNA
Source: RNAcentral
AGAUGGGAGCUUGCUCCCUGAUGUUAGCGGCGGACGGGUGAGUAACACGUGGGUAACCUGCCUGUAAGACUGGGAUAACUCCGGGAAACCGGGGCUAAUACCGGAUGCUUGAUUGAACCGCAUGGUUCAAUUAUAAAAGGUGGCUUUUAGCUACCACUUACAGAUGGACCCGCGGCGCAUUAGCUAGUUGGUGAGGUAACGGCUCACCAAGGCAACGAUGCGUAGCCGACCUGAGAGGGUGAUCGGCCACACUGGGACUGAGACACGGCCCAGACUCCUACGGGAGGCAGCAGU